This 254-nucleotide ribosomal RNA is filed under the name uncultured bacterium. Its description in RNAcentral is "partial 16S ribosomal RNA". It matches the Rfam family "Bacterial small subunit ribosomal RNA", at positions 524 to 777 of the family's 1533-position model. The record is from RNAcentral.
UACGAAGGGGGCUAGCGUUGUUCGGAUUUACUGGGCGUAAAGCGCACGUAGGCGGAUCGUUAAGUCGGGGGUGAAAUCCUGGGGCUCAACCCCAGAACUGCCUUCGAUACUGGCGAUCUCGAGUCCGGAAGAGGUGAGUGGAACUCCUAGUGUAGAGGUGGAAUUCGUAGAUAUUAGGAAGAACACCAGUGGCGAAGGCGGCUCACUGGUCCGGUACUGACGCUGAGGUGCGAAAGCGUGGGGAGCAAACGGGG